GGCGGGGCGGAAGGGAGGAGCCAGGGUCUUCCUCCUCAUUUCUCUCUGCUUUAGUGGCAACUUGGGAAGUGGUUGGGUCACCGCCAGGGUUCCAGCUCCCAUGGGCAGCCCCCUGCCUGACUGUGGUUCCGGUGUCCCACACCUAGUCUGGUUCCCAGGCUUUGGGUAUCGGCACUUCCUCCCCGGUCUCUGGAGUCCCAGGUUGUCACAGCUGCCUGCCGCUGCUUGUCGACAGGAUCUCAUGUUAUUUAGGCUUGUCUGGGACUCCUGGCCUCAAGCAAUCCUCCUGCCUCGGCCUACCGAAGUGCUGGGAUUACAGGCAUGAGCCACUGCACCCGGCCACCAGCAUUUGUUAAAGUCUCACCACGGAUCAGGCUCUCAUCUAAAAAACUUGAAGUUGUCAUUCUGUGUCCUUACAGUAACCCCUCAAGGUAGGUGUCACUCUCAUCUCCAUUUUACAAAUGAGAAAAGAGGCUAACUAAGGGAAGUUAAAGAGCUUGCCGAAGAUCACAUAGCCAGAAUUUUAAUCCGAGGAUCUGGAGCCUCUUUUGCGGUGCCAUCAAAGGCUUGCUGGCUCCCCCUGGUGUGCCCUCAAGGCAGCUGCCUGUGACUGUCCUGUAGGGGAAGCUUUGCAGAUAGGGGACCUUUGUAGAUCGUCGAUAUCCUGGGCUCUGCGCAUGCUGUGGUUCCUCUGCCUGAAAUGCUCUUCCUGCCUCUUCUUCUUC
Molecule: long non-coding RNA, 725 nt
Filed under: Homo sapiens (human)
Lineage: Eukaryota; Metazoa; Chordata; Mammalia; Primates; Hominidae
Description: HSALNT0174660
Source: RNAcentral